Molecule: long non-coding RNA, 1393 nt
Organism: Patella vulgata (common limpet)
Lineage: Eukaryota; Metazoa; Mollusca; Gastropoda; Patellidae
Exons: 7
Source: RefSeq, a predicted model, not a curated record
AGAAAUGGAAGUGUUAUCGUACAAGGUGUCGUGGAGGUAAACGCCGAUGAAGUCGUGAAGAAUAAAACACAGAGUGCGAAGACAUUAACCGAAUUAACAGAAUAUAUCAACUCUACAAAAUAUAAUAACGCCCCUAUGACUUAUACUGGAGACUCUUCACAAUUUGAGAAAUUAUUUGCUGAUGUCUGUAACGCUGUGGGUACAGUGUGCAGUAACUGGACUUAUACCUGUCAAGAUAGUGUCUGUCGUAGUCGAUGUGGCGAUGUUUCUUGUGGUGAUCAUGGGAUAUGCGAAUUCACCGAGGAAAUAUUAAUUUGUAGGUGUUCCAGUGAUAAUUUAUAUAGUUACUAUGGUGAUAAAUGUGAAAAUAGUAACAUGAAAUGGGAAAUACUGGUCAGUAUCACAGCAGCUGUUGGAAUUGUUCUAAUAAUUCUAUUAACAAUAGCCUUCAUCUGUUACUGUCAGAGAAAAAAGAAACGGUCUCAACAAGAAAAGGGUACUGAAAACGUGUCGGUUCACUCUAUAAGUUCUGGUCUUCCUGACGACAUACCGCUACAAGAGAAGGGGAACCAAGAAGAAAAUCAACUCUAUGAUGGACGAUAUUUUGGAAAAAGACAUCCUAAUUCAUUGAAUGAACCACGCAACUAUGAAUAUCCUGUAAAAUUAGGACCAUCACGAGGAGAUUAUGUUGAUGUUGAGGAAAGGGAGAGUCGUCACAGUUCGGUAUCACCUGCCUAUCGGUCUAAAUUUGGUCAUAUUAAUCCACAAGCUGACUAUAGUAUUAAAAGGCCGCAGUUAAUACUACGACCCGGAAAAGGACCCGGUUUGGGACUGCGAUAAAAACUUGACUUCUGUCCAAGAUAACAUGAAACAUAAUUAUAAGAGAAGAAAUCGAUGUUUUUAACAAUAUCUAUACAUGCUUAAUAAUAACGAAAAUAAGAGCUGAUAGUGAAAUUAUGUCCAUUUUAAACGGGGAUCUUUGCCCCCGAAAUAAAAGAUAUAAAUCCGAAUGGAAAUAGAUCCGCAUAAUAUUGGUGUAUAUUAUAUGAUUUAAAUUAAAUAUUAAUUAUUUGUGAAAUGAAAUUAAAUGAAAUGGGGGUUAACGUCCUACUGUUCUGCUCUGACUGUGCUAAUGAAGACGGGCAUGCAUACGCCAUACGGUGCUAUGAGGGGAAAUUUGAACCGGCCAAUGCAGGGAUCGAACACGCGACCUCCACACUAGCGAACCAGCAUAUUACCCACCUAGCCACCGUGACUCCCUAAUUAUUUGUAUUCAACAUUCGAACGCUAUACCAGGCAGGGUUCUUGGCUUGACAAAGACGGGAGAACCCUCGUCGAAACGUCGCUGUAAUAAACUCUUUAAGUAACUUGUAUUUCAUAUAAUUGUGUCAUG